UACAGAGGUUUCAAGCGUUGGUCGGAUUCAUUGGGCGUAAAGGGUGCGUAGGUGGCUCGCUAAGUCGGGUGUGAAAUCCCGGGGCUUAACCUCGGGACUGCAUUCGAUACUGGCGUGCUUGAGGACUGGAGAGGAGACUGGAAUUCAUGGUGUAGCAGUGAAAUGCGUAGAGAUCAUGAGGAAGACCAGUGGCGAAGGCGGGUCUCUGGACAGUUCCUGACACUGAGGCACGAAGGCCAGGGGAGCAAACGGG
RNAcentral lists this ribosomal RNA (253 nucleotides) under uncultured bacterium. RNAcentral's name for it is "partial 16S ribosomal RNA". It matches the Rfam family "Bacterial small subunit ribosomal RNA", at positions 524 to 776 of the family's 1533-position model. The record is from RNAcentral.